This 254-nucleotide ribosomal RNA is filed under the name uncultured bacterium. RNAcentral's name for it is "partial 16S ribosomal RNA". It matches the Rfam family "Bacterial small subunit ribosomal RNA", at positions 524 to 776 of the family's 1533-position model. The record is from RNAcentral.
UACGUAGGGGCCAAGCGUUGUCCGGAUUUAUUGGGCGUAAAGAGCUCGUAGGCGGUUGGGUAAGUCGGGUGUGAAAACUCCAGGCUCAACUUGGAGACGCCACCCGAUACUGCUCUGACUUGAGUUCGGUAGGGGAGUGGGGAAUUCCUGGUGUAGCGGUGAAAUGCGCAGAUAUCAGGAGGAACAUCAGUUGCGAAGGCGGCCACCUGGACCAGCACUGACACUGAGGCACGAAAGCGUGGGGAGCAAACAGG